GGAGCAGUUACUGUGAGAUCAUGAGGCAACAAUCAUGAAGACAGGACUAAGAAGACAGCAGAGAUGAGGAUUCCCUACACUGCAGAGCUACUGAACAACCUCAAAGCUGCUUUUCUUCAGUGUACCCUAGGCUGGCCCAGUGCUUUCCGGUAAACGCCCAACUUGAAGGAUGUAUAUCACCCUGAGCUCCACCCUAGGCCUACUGAAUCACCACCUGCAGUUUCACAAGAUCCCCACGUGAUUAAAAUGCACCUGAAGUUUCUCAAGCACGGUUGAGAAUCAGGACCUCUUUGUGAGCUUAUCCUGCCAGGACACCCUUCUCUGCGUGCCAUGGACUAUGCCUUGCUUUCUGCUCACACCAUGUACUUGUUUCUAUCACAGCAUUUGCCUCCACAUUCCUCUUGGACCAUCUCUAAGGUUCUUGAGAUGAGGAAGAGCACCUGAUUCGAUUCUCGUCCUCAGGAACUGGCAAAGGUAUAGCAUGGAGUGAGACUUAAUAAAUGCUUCCUCAACAAAUUCA
Molecule: long non-coding RNA, 520 nt
Organism: Symphalangus syndactylus (siamang)
Lineage: Eukaryota; Metazoa; Chordata; Mammalia; Primates; Hylobatidae
Source: RefSeq, a predicted model, not a curated record